GGGCCGGUAGCUCAGCGGUCAGAGCAGCGGGCUCAUAACCCGACAGACGGAGGUUCGAAUCCUCCUCGGCCCA
Molecule: transfer RNA, 73 nt
Filed under: Solirubrobacterales bacterium
Lineage: Bacteria; Bacillati; Actinomycetota; Thermoleophilia; Solirubrobacterales
Also listed under: 3 other names
Description: tRNA-Ile
Rfam family: tRNA
About the family: Transfer RNA (tRNA) molecules are approximately 80 nucleotides in length. Their secondary structure includes four short double-helical elements and three loops (D, anti-codon, and T loops).
Source: RNAcentral